RNAcentral lists this small RNA (456 nucleotides) under Malus domestica (apple). Lineage: Eukaryota; Viridiplantae; Streptophyta; Magnoliopsida; Rosales; Rosaceae. The record is from RNAcentral.
ACAAGGCAUUUUGGGAACUCACUGGCUUCAGGUUCCAUCGGAAUUCCGAAGUUAAGCGAGUUCACGCGAGAGCAAUCCCAGGAUGGGAGACCCACUGAGAAGUUCUUGUGUGAGUUCUCAGAAACAAAACCAUGAGGGCGUGAUCGGGGCCCAAAGCGGACAAUAUCGUGUUACGGCGGAGUCGAGCCCGAGAUGUGAUAAUUUGGUAUUAGAGUCAAUCCUUGGCCUGAUGUAUGCCGACGAGGACGUCGGGCCCCUAAGGGGGGUGGAUUGUAAUUAUCCCACAUCACCCAGGGGUGUGGAUCAUGUAAGUUUUAUAUGCAUAUUCCCAUCUAGCACGAGGCUUUUUGGGAACUCACUAACUUUGGGUUCCAUCAGAACUCCGAAGUUAAGCGAGUUUGCGCGAGAACGAUCUCAGGAUCGGUGAUCCACUAGAAAGUUCUCAUGUGAGUUUCC